Molecule: ribosomal RNA, 440 nt
Filed under: uncultured bacterium
Lineage: Bacteria
Description: partial 16S ribosomal RNA
Rfam family: Bacterial small subunit ribosomal RNA
Source: RNAcentral
CCUACGGGUGGCAGCAGUGGGGAAUAUUGCACAAUGGGGGGAACCCUGAUGCAGCGACGCCGCGUGAAGGAAGAAGGAUUUCGGUAUGUAAACUUCUAUCAGCAGGGAAGAAAAUGACGGUACCCGACUAAGAAGCCCCGGCUAACUACGCGACAGCACCAGCGGGAAUAUGUAGGGGGCGAGCGUUAUCCGGAUUUACCGGGUGUAAAGGGAGCGUAGGCGGCAGUGCAAGACAGAAGUGAAAUCCCUAGGCUCAACCAUGGGACUGCUGUUGAAACUGUACAGCUCGAUUGCAGGAGAGGUAAGUGGAAUUCCUGGUGUAGCGGUGAAAUGCGUAGAUAUUAGGAAGAACACCAGUGGCGAAGGCGGCUUACUGGACUGUAAAUGACGCUGAGGCUCGAAAGCGUGGGGAGCAAACAGGAUUAGAUACCCUAGUAGUC